This 253-nucleotide ribosomal RNA is filed under the name uncultured bacterium. RNAcentral's name for it is "partial 16S ribosomal RNA". It matches the Rfam family "Bacterial small subunit ribosomal RNA", at positions 524 to 776 of the family's 1533-position model. The record is from RNAcentral.
UACGUAGGUGGCAAGCGUUAUCCGGAAUUAUUGGGCGUAAAGAGCGCGCAGGUGGUUGAUUAAGUCUGAUGUGAAAGCCCACGGCUUAACCGUGGAGGGUCAUUGGAAACUGGUCAACUUGAGUGCAGAAGAGGGAAGUGGAAUUCCAUGUGUAGCGGUGAAAUGCGUAGAGAUAUGGAGGAACACCAGUGGCGAAGGCGGCUUCCUGGUCUGUAACUGACAAUGAGGCGCGAAAGAGUGGGGAGCAAACAGG